RNAcentral lists this ribosomal RNA (1291 nucleotides) under uncultured bacterium. RNAcentral's name for it is "bacterial SSU rRNA". It matches the Rfam family "Bacterial small subunit ribosomal RNA", at positions 105 to 1372 of the family's 1533-position model. The record is from RNAcentral.
GGUGAGUAACACGUGGGUAACCUGCCCCUUGAGAGGGGGAUAACAGGUCGAAAGGCCUGCUAAUACCGCAUAAUGCUAAGAAGCUGCAUGGCGUCUUAGCCAAAAGGUUAAUUCCGCUCAAGGAUGGGCCCCGCGGCCCCAUUGGCUAGUUGGUGAGGUAAUGGCUCACCAAGGCGACGAUGGGUAGCCGGCCUGAGAGGGGUGGUCGGCCCACACUGGGACUGAGACACGGCCCCAGACUCCUACGGGGAGGGCAGCAGUGGGGAAUAUUGCGCAAAUGGGGGAAAACCCUGACGCAAGCGACGCCGCGUGAGCGAUGAAGGCUCUUCGGGGUUGUAAAAGCUCUGUCUUUCCCUGACGAUAAUGACGGUAAGGGAGGAGGAAAGCCCACGGGCUAACUACGUGCCCAGCCAGCCCGCGGUAAUACGUAGGUGGCGAGCGUUUUUCCGGAAAUUACUGGGGCGUAAAGGGGUGCGUAGGGCGGGCUCUUUUAAGUGGGAUGUGAAAAUCCCCUGGGGCUCAACCCCAGGAAACUGCCAUUCCAAACUGGAGGAGCUAGAGUGCCGGGGAAGGAAAAGCGGAAAUUCCCCAGUGUAGCGGUGAAAAUGCGUAGAGAUUGGGAGGAACACCAGUGGCGAGGCGGCUUUCUGGACUGUAACUGACGCUGAGGCACGAAAGCGUGGGGAGCAAACAGGAUUAGAUACCCUGGUAGUCCACGCUGUAAACGAUGGGUACUAGGUGUAGGGGGCGAAGCCCUCUGUGCCGCAGCUAACGCAUUAAGUACCCCGCCUGGGGAGUACGGUCGCAAGAUUAAAACUCAAAGGAAUUGACGGGGGCCCGCACAAGCAGCGGAGCAUGUGGUUUAAUUCGAAGCAACGCGAAGAACCUUACCAGGGCUUGACACCCACCGAACCCUGUGGAAACACGGGGGUGCCCUUCGGGGAACGGUGAGACAGGUGGUGCAUGGUUGUCGUCAGCUCGUGUCGUGAGAUGUUGGGUUAAGUCCCGCAACGAGCGCAACCCUUGCCUUUAGUUGCCAGCAAAUUCGGUUGGGCACUCUAGAGGGACUGCCUGGGUUAACCAGGAGGAAAGGUGGGGAUGACGUCAAAUCAUCAUGCCCCUUAUGCUCUGGGCUACACACGUGCUACAAUGGCCGGUACAAUGAGUUGCAAACCCGCGAGGGGGAGCUAAUCUCAAAAACCGGUCCCAGUUCGGAUUGUAGGCUGCAACUCGCCUACAUGAAGCUGGAGUUGCUAGUAAUCGCGGAUCAGCAUGCCGCGGUGAAUACGUU